This 165-nucleotide ribosomal RNA is filed under the name uncultured bacterium. RNAcentral describes it as "partial 16S rRNA". It matches the Rfam family "Bacterial small subunit ribosomal RNA", at positions 355 to 511 of the family's 1533-position model. The record is from RNAcentral.
UAGGGAAUCUUCGGCAAUGGACGAAAGUCUGACCGAGCAACGCCGCGUGAGUGAAGAAGGUUUUUCGGAUCGUAAAACUCUGUUGGUAGAGAAGAACGUUGGUGAGAGUGGAAGCUCAUCAAGUGACGGUAACUACCCAGAAAGGGACGGCUAACUACGUGCCAG